Molecule: long non-coding RNA, 433 nt
Organism: Asparagus officinalis (garden asparagus)
Lineage: Eukaryota; Viridiplantae; Streptophyta; Magnoliopsida; Asparagales; Asparagaceae
Exons: 3
Source: RefSeq, a predicted model, not a curated record
CUCUGACCCAAUUUCAAUCCUCGCAUCGGCUUCAGUCUUUGCUGUCUCUUUAACGACUGUCCAGUAGCUCUUACGAGAUCCAGCAGCGAAAACGUCAAAAAGAGGUCCAGUGAUUUCCAUUUCAUUCCCUCCUAUUGCAUAUUGUUUUUGACUUGAUCGACUUCAAAAGAAGUACAUGUGCCUAAUGAUAAGGCCCAAUAACUGCUAAACAGCGAGGUAGGAAUAUUGGCAGCCAAUGCAGGCAUAUACUGCAAUAGAGUAGCACCAGCUGCUCUGUGAUGGAGUCAUGGAACUCGGAAGAUACCUAAAACUUCUCUACACUGGAACCUGAGAUCUAUAAAGUAAAGGGAGGCAGCAAGGACUGAAACAAACCUGAUCAUGUGGCCAUCAAUCUCGAAACCCUUCCCCUCCGGCUGAACGACCCCAACCGACC